This is a non-coding RNA of Cylindrobasidium torrendii FP15055 ss-10, 84 nucleotides long. Lineage: Eukaryota; Fungi; Basidiomycota; Agaricomycetes; Agaricales; Physalacriaceae. The record is from the annotation of a GenBank genome assembly.
GGCUUGAUGGUCUAGUAGUAUGAUUCCUUCUUAGGGUCUUUGGUUGUUUGGAGGAGGUCCCGGGUUCAAUUCCCGGUCAAGCCC